GACGAACGCUGGCGGCGUGCCUAAUACAUGCAAGUUGAGCGCUGAAGGUUGGUACUUGUACCAACUGGAUGAGCAGCGAACGGGUGAGUAACGCGUGGGGAAUCUGCCUUUGAGCGGGGGACAACAUUUGGAAACGAAUGCUAAUACCGCAUAAAAACUUUAAACACAAGUUUUAAGUUUGAAAGAUGCAAUUGCAUCACUCAAAGAUGAUCCCGCGUUGUAUUAGCUAGUUGGUGAGGUAAAGGCUCACCAAGGCGAUGAUACAUAGCCGACCUGAGAGGGUGUUCGGCCACAUUGGGACUGAGACACGGCCCAAACUCCUACGGGAGGCAGCAGUAGGGAAUCUUCGGCAAUGGACGAAAGUCUGACCGAGCAACGCCGCGUGAGUGAAGAAGGUUUUCGGAUCGUAAAACUCUGUUGGUAGAGAAGAACGUUGGUGAGAGUGGAAAGCUCAUCAAGUGACGGUAACUACCCAGAAAGGGACGGCUAACUACGUG
This 497-nucleotide ribosomal RNA is filed under the name uncultured bacterium. Its description in RNAcentral is "partial 16S ribosomal RNA". It matches the Rfam family "Bacterial small subunit ribosomal RNA", at positions 28 to 507 of the family's 1533-position model. The record is from RNAcentral.